This 433-nucleotide ribosomal RNA is filed under the name uncultured bacterium. RNAcentral describes it as "partial 16S ribosomal RNA". It matches the Rfam family "Bacterial small subunit ribosomal RNA", at positions 29 to 507 of the family's 1533-position model. The record is from RNAcentral.
AACGAACGCUGGCGGCAUGCCUAACACAUGCAAGUCGAACGAGACCUUCGGGUCUAGUGGCGCACGGGUGCGUAACGCGUGGGAACCUGCACUUAGGUUCGGAAUAACUCUCCGACAGGGGUGCUAAUACCGGAUAAUGGCUUCGGACCAAAGAUUUAUCGCCUUUGGAUGGGCCCGCGUUGGAUUAGCUAGUUGGUAGGGUAAAAGCCUACCACGGCGACGAUCCAUAGCUGGUCUGAGAGGAUGAUCAGCCACACUGGGACUGAGACACGGCCGAGACUCCUACGGGAGGCAGCAGUGGGGAAUAUUGGAAAAUGGGCGAAAGGCUGAUGCAGCAAUGCCGCGUGAGUUAUGAAGGCCUUAGGGUUGUAAAGCUCUAUUACCCGGGAUGAUAAUGACAGUACCGGGAGAAUAAGCUCCGGCUAACUCCGUG